Molecule: ribosomal RNA, 253 nt
Filed under: uncultured bacterium
Lineage: Bacteria
Description: partial 16S ribosomal RNA
Rfam family: Bacterial small subunit ribosomal RNA
Source: RNAcentral
GACGGAGGAUGCAAGCGUUAUCCGGAAUUAUUGGGCGUAAAGCGUCCGCAGGUGGCUGUUCAAGUCUGCUGUCAAAGCGCAGAGCUUAACUCUGUACAGGCGGUGGAAACUGAAGAGCUAGAGUAUGGUAGGGGUAGAGGGACUUCCCGGUGUAGCGGUGAAAUGCGUAGAUAUCGGGAAGAACACCAGUGGCGAAAGCGCUCUACUGGGCCAUAACUGACACUGAGGGACGAAAGCUAGGGGAGCGAAAGGG